RNAcentral lists this ribosomal RNA (253 nucleotides) under uncultured bacterium. RNAcentral's name for it is "partial 16S ribosomal RNA". It matches the Rfam family "Bacterial small subunit ribosomal RNA", at positions 524 to 776 of the family's 1533-position model. The record is from RNAcentral.
GGCAUAGGUGGCGAACGUUAUCCGGAAUUAUUGGGCGCAAAGAGUGCGUAGGUGGCUGAGCAAGUCGGGUGUGAAAUCCCCGGGCUUAACUUGGGAAUUGCGCUCGAAACUACUUGGCUCGAGUGUGGCAGAGGAAGGUGGAAUUCCAGGUGUAGCGGUGAAAUGCGUAGAGAUCUGGAGGAACACCGAUGGCGAAGGCAGCCUUCUGGGCCAACACUGACGCUCAUGCACGAAAGCGUGGGGAGCAAACAGG